AUCGAAUUAUAACUUUAAAAUCUAUAAUUGUCUCUUAUUAAUGAUUCGGAAAUAGAAAAAACUUGGUUUUGUUAUUAUUCUUCGUUGGUUCGUUUAAUGGAAAUUUUAUAACAACCUUAACUCAUAUGGGACUACCCCCUGAAUUUAAGCAUAUUAAUUAGGGGAGGAAAAGCCUCUAAUAAGGAUUUUCUUAGUAGCGGCGAGCGAAAAGAAAACAGUUCAGCACUAAGUCACUUUGUCUAUAUGGCAAAUGUGAGAUGCAGUGUAUGGAGCGUGAAUAUUCUAGUAUGAGAAAUUAACGAUUUAAUUAACGUAUAAAUUUAAUGAUUACUAGAUGAUGUUUCCAAAGAGUCGUGUUGCUUGAUAGUGCAUCACUAAGUGCGUGGUAAACUCCAUCUAAAACUAAAUAUAACCAUGAGACCGAUAGUAAACAAGUACCGUGAGGGAAAGUUGAAAAGAACUCUGAAUAGAGAGUUAAACAGUACGAGAAACUGCUUAGAGGUUAAGCCCGAUGAACCUGAAUAUCCGUUAUGGAAAAUUCAUCAUUAAAAUUGUAGUAUUUAAAUAAUAUUAUGAGGAUAGUGUGCAUUUUGUCCAUAUAAGGACAUUGUAAUCUAUUUGCAUAUACAAAAUGUAUCAUAAAAUAUAACUUAUAGUUAUAAUUUUAUAAUGGCAUAAUUAUCAUUGAUUUUUGUGUUUAUUAUAUGCCCUUGUAUGAUUAACAAUGCGAAAGAUUCAGGAUACCUUCGGGACCCGUCUUGAAACACGGACCAAGGAGUCUAACAUACGGGCAAGCUAUUGGGAUAUAAACCUAAUAGCGUAAUUAACUUGACUAAUAAUUGGAAUAGUUUUUUAACUAUUUAUAGCUAAUUAACACAAUCCCUGGGCGUUCUAUAUAGUUAUGUAUAAUGUAUAUUUAUAUUAUUUAUGCCUCUAACUGGAACGUACCUUGAGCAUAUAUGCUGUGACCCGAAAGAUGGUGAACUAUACUUGAUCAGGUUGAAGUCAGGGGAAACCCUGAUGGAAGACCGAAACAGUUCUUGCAAAUCGAUUGUCAGAAUUGAGUAUAGGGGCGAAAGACCGAUCGAACGAUCUAGUAGCUGGUUCCUUCCGAAGUUUCACUCAGGAUAGCUGGUGCAUUUUAAUAUUAUAUAAAAUAAUCUUAUCUGGUAAAGCGAAUGAUUAGAGGGCUUAGGGUCGAAACGAUCUUAACCUAUUCUCAAACUUUAAGUGGGUAAGAACCUUAACUUUCUUGAUAUGAAGUUCAAGGUUAUGAUAUAAUGUGCCCAGUGGGCCACUUUUGGUAAGCAGAACUGGCGCUGUGGGAAGAACCAAACGUAAUGUUACGGUGCCCAAAUUAACAACUCAUGCAGAUAACAUGAAAGGCGUUGCUUGCUUAAAACAGCAGGACGGUGAUCAUGGAAGUCAUGCCAUUGGUACAGAUCUUGGUGGUAGUAGUAAAUAAUCGAUAGAAUAAUGUAGGUAAGGGAAGUCGGCAAAUUAAAUCCGUAACUUGGGGAUAACGAUUGGCUCUGAAGAUUGAGAUAGUCGGGCUUGAUUGGGAAACAAUAACAUGGUUUAUGUGCUCGUUCUGGGUAAAUAGAGUUUCUAGCAUUUAUGUUAGUUACUUGUUCCCGGAUAGUUUAGUUACGUAGCCAAUUGUGGAACUUUCUUGCUAAAAUUUUUAAGAAUAUUUUUUGGGUUAAACCAAUUAGUUCUUAUUAAUUAUAACGAUUAUCAAUUAACAAUCAAUUCAGAACUGGCACGGACUUGGGGAAUCCGACUGUCUAAUUCAAACAAAGCAUUGUGAUGGCCCUAGCGGGUGUUGACACAAUGUGAUUUCUGCCCAGUGCUCUGAAUGUCAAAGUGAAGAAAUUCAAGACUUCAAGAAAUUCCUACUGUCCCUAUCUACUUACUGUCAGUGACGGACGUGUUUUCUACGAGCUCCCAUUAAUAAGGUCAUUUUUGGUGUAAGUCCGCGGUAUGACACCGCCGCACAGGUAGCUGCCAGAAGGCGACUGUCCUCCUGCCAUAGACUGAUCCUGCUUGGAUGUCUAUCGGUAUACCGAACAGUGUUCACCGCGGCACUUCAGGUUCUUGGUGGAGCCCCUCCGCUUGACUUGGCUGCUAAGAAAUUAGCAGUCAAAUACAAGCUGAAGCGUGGAUACCCGCUGGAGGAGAACGACUAGCUCUAUGGCGAGGAGAUUGCACGUCUAAGCCGGGAGCAAAAAGAGAUUCGCCUAGAGGAAUGCGACUAAGGCGACUAAUGCGGCAAUAGCUCACUCCGCCCGUGCUUGUCGGCUAGGUAGAACUCGCUCCUCAGCAAGGGGGAGUGCUUGCCCGGCAAGCAAGUGCUCGAAUUGCUACCGGGGUGGUUGCUAUGUACAUAGCUAUAGCUUCCAGACCGGCACGUUUUGUCUAGCGUAUCUGGACACAUACAUUAUAUGCGCACUUGUGGGUGUAUAGGGUGCCGUGGUUGUAAUCCCUUCAGUGUGGAACACGCCACGUAAAUCAAGUUCGGAGGGAUCCGAUUCAAACCCUGUCCCUAUCUACUAUCUAGCGAAACCACAGCCAUGGGAAAGGGCUUGGAAUAAUUAGCGGGGAAAGACCCUUUUGAGCUUGACUCUAAUCUGGCAGUGUAAGGAGACAUAAGAGGUGUAGAAUAAGUGGGAGAUAUUAGACCUCGGUUUGGUAGCGUCAAUGAAAUACCACUACUCUUAUUGUUUCCUUACUAACUUGAUUCAAUGGAACGUAUAUCAUUUCCUAGCCAUUAUACGGAUAUAUUUAUUAUAUCUUAUGGUAUUGGGUUUUGAUGCAAGCUUCUUGAUCAAAGUAUCACGAGUUUGUUAUAUAAUCGCAAACAAAUUCUUUAAUAAAACGAUGCAUUUAUGUAUUUUUGAUUUGAAAAUUUGGUAUAACUCCAAUUACACAGGUAUGAUUCAAUUCAAGGACAUUGCCAGGUAGGGAGUUUGACUGGGGCGGCACAUCUCUCCAAUAAUAACGGAGGUGUCCCAAGGCCAGCUCAGUGCGGACAGAAACCACACAUAGAGCAAAAGGGCAAAUGCUGACUUGAUCUCGGAGUUCAGUACACACAGGGUCAGCAAAAGCUCGGCCUAUCUUUUGGUUUAAAGAGUUUUUAACAAGAGGUGUCAGAAAAGUUACCAUAGGGAUAUCUGGCUUGUGGCGGCCAAGCGUUUAUAGUGAUCAUUGUGAAGCAAAAUUCACCAAACGUUGGAUUGUUCACCCAUGCAAGGGAAGGUGAACUGGGUUUAGACCGUCGUGAGACAGGUUAGUUUUACCAUACUAAUGACAAAACGUUGUUGCGACAGCAUUCCUGCGUAGUACGAGAGGAACCGCCGGUACGGUCCAAUGGCACAAUACUUGUUCGAGCGAACAGUGGUAUGACGCUAAGUCCGUUGGAUUAUGCCUGAACGCCUCUAAGGUCGUAUCCGUGCUGGACUGCAAUGAUAAAUAAGGGGCAAUUUGCAUUGUAUGGCUUCUAAACCAUUUAAAGUUUAUAAUUUACUUUAUAAACGGCAAUGGAUGUGAUGCCAAUGUAAUUUGUAACAUAGUAAAUUGGGAGGAUCUUCGAUCACCUGAUGCCGCGCUAGUUACAUAUAAAACCAUUAUUU
Molecule: ribosomal RNA, 3632 nt
Filed under: Drosophila erecta
Lineage: Eukaryota; Metazoa; Arthropoda; Insecta; Diptera; Drosophilidae
Description: eukaryotic LSU rRNA
Rfam family: Eukaryotic large subunit ribosomal RNA
Source: RNAcentral